UUCCGACCUGUCUCUCCCAAAAACCUUCAUCUGUUCGCCGAAGAUUACGAGGAAGAGGAACCACCAUCUGCUCCCUAUCAUUUAGAUUCGAAUCUGUACAGCCCUUCUCCUACGACGCGUCCUCAUGUUUGUUGAGCUGCUGCCACCAGUGCAAGGGUGGUGGAGUCUGCAACAUUUGCACAAGAAACUACCAUAAGUUGUACAUUAUUUUCUACUGUGAGCGCGGAGAUGAACUCUGCUCCGUUGGGCAGCAACUAAAAGUUGAAAUCUAGGUUGUUUCUGAUAAGUUUUCUGCAGCAAUUUUGGCAGCAAAUCUGCACGGGUGAACUCUCAGUUCAUUCGAUGUCAAAGGAACGGGGCCGUUCCCUUCAGCUAUUCUUACUCUCGGAGUUUGGUGAAAGCGAAGGAACCUUUGAGAAAUACUAGGAUAUGGUCCGCCACUGAGGAAGAAGAUGCCACUGUUGUUGUCGAUGAAGCAUCUGCUGCUGCGACAACUACCAUUGAUCAGAUUGUUUCUGUUUUCGUCUCUCCUUCCGAUGUCCUCACCAUGUUCUUUCAGAUUUUAGUGUUAUUACAUUUUGCAUCAUAGUACCACCUAAAAUCGAAGGGCUGCAAUUUUUUGGUAUUGGUGGUGAGCUUCAAUUUUUUGUUAUUGGUAAUGAGCCUACUGAACGUAAUUCAUCAUAUGCACUAUCUUGAACAUCAGUUGAUAACACUAGAUUCCCAAAUUCACCUUCAACUUCACCACACGACUCCUCUGAUUGUGAUGGAAUUUCAAACACAGAGGUAUUUAGAGUAAACAAAGGUUGCUUGAUUAAAGUUGGAUUCAACAUCAUUGCUUUUUGUGCUUCCUUGAUAAUUUCUUCUAUGUGUGGACUUGAAAA
Long non-coding RNA from Nicotiana attenuata, 884 nucleotides. RefSeq lists it as uncharacterized. The record is from RefSeq and is a predicted model, not a curated record. NCBI's taxonomy places the organism in Eukaryota, Viridiplantae, Streptophyta, Magnoliopsida, Solanales, Solanaceae. The transcript is spliced from 4 exons.